Long non-coding RNA from Haliotis rubra (blacklip abalone), 101 nucleotides. RefSeq lists it as uncharacterized. The record is from RefSeq and is a predicted model, not a curated record. The transcript has 3 exons. NCBI's taxonomy places the organism in Eukaryota, Metazoa, Mollusca, Gastropoda, Lepetellida, Haliotidae.
UGGAAAUUGGCAUGGCAACUAACGGCCGAAAGCUACGAAAACACAAUGCCAAUUAGAAAGUUGUCAGAUGUAACAUAUGUUAAUUUCGGAUUACACUUUCU